Molecule: ribosomal RNA, 253 nt
Filed under: uncultured Vampirovibrio sp.
Lineage: Bacteria; Bacillati; Candidatus Melainabacteria; Vampirovibriophyceae; Vampirovibrionales; Vampirovibrionaceae
Description: partial 16S ribosomal RNA
Rfam family: Bacterial small subunit ribosomal RNA
Source: RNAcentral
GACGUAGGAUGCAAGCGUUGUCCGGAUUUAUUGGGCGUAAAGAGUUCGUAGGCGGUUCGUUAAGUCUGAUGUUAAAGACUGGGGCUCAACCUCGGAAGUGCAUUGGAUACUGGCGGACUGGAGUACGGUAGAGGCAAGUGGAAUUCCCAGUGUAGCGGUGAAAUGCGUAGAUAUUGGGAAGAACACCGGUGGCGCAAGCGACUUGCUGGGCCGUAACUGACGCUGAGGAACGAAAGCUAGGGUAGCGAAUGGG